RNAcentral lists this ribosomal RNA (253 nucleotides) under uncultured bacterium. RNAcentral describes it as "partial 16S ribosomal RNA". It matches the Rfam family "Bacterial small subunit ribosomal RNA", at positions 524 to 776 of the family's 1533-position model. The record is from RNAcentral.
UACGAAGGGUGCAAGCGUUACUCGGAAUUACUGGGCGUAAAGCGUGCGUAGGUGGUUCGUUAAGUCUGAUGUGAAAGCCCUGGGCUCAACCUGGGAAUGGCAUUGGAAACUGGCGACCUAGAGUGCGGUAGAGGGUAGUGGAAUUCCCGGUGUAGCAGUGAAAUGCGUAGAGAUCGGGAGGAACAUCCGUGGCGAAGGCGGCACUCUGGGCCGGUACUGACGCUGAGGAGCGAAAGCGUGGGGAGCAAACAGG